CAGUUCGGAUUGUAGUCUGCAACCCGACUACAUGAAGCUGGAAUCGCUAGUAAUCGCGGAUCAGAAUGCCGCGGUGAAUACGUUCCCGGGUCUUGUACACACCGCCCGUCACACCAUGGGAGUUGGAAAUGCCCGAAGUCAGUGGCCCAACCGGAAGGGGGGAGCUGCCGAAGGCAGGUUCGAUGACUGGGGUGAAGUCGUAACAAGGUAUC
Molecule: ribosomal RNA, 212 nt
Filed under: uncultured bacterium
Lineage: Bacteria
Description: partial 16S ribosomal RNA
Rfam family: Bacterial small subunit ribosomal RNA
Source: RNAcentral